AUUGAACGCUGGCGGCAGGCCUAACACAUGCAAGUCGAACGGUAACAGGAAGCAGCUUGCUGCUUCGCUGACGAGUGGCGGACGGGUGAGUAAUGUCUGGGAAGCUGCCUGAUGGAGGGGGAUAACUACUGGAAACGGUAGCUAAUACCGCAUAAUGUCGCAAGACCAAAGAGGGGGACCUUCGGGCCUCUUGCCAUCGGAUGUGCCCAGAUGGGAUUAGCUUGUUGGUGGGGUAACGGCUCACCAAGGCGACGAUCCCUAGCUGGUCUGAGAGGAUGACCAGCCACACUGGAACUGAGACACGGUCCAGACUCCUACGGGAGGCAGCAGUGGGGAAUAUUGCACAGUGGGCGCAAGCCUGAUGCAGCAAUGCCGCGUGUAUGAAGAAGGCCUUCGGGUUGUAAAGUACUUUCAGCGGGGAGGAAGGGAGUAAAGUUAAUACCUUUGCUCAUUGACGUUACCCGCAGAAGAAGCACCGGCUAACUCCGUG
This 490-nucleotide ribosomal RNA is filed under the name uncultured bacterium. Its description in RNAcentral is "partial 16S ribosomal RNA". It matches the Rfam family "Bacterial small subunit ribosomal RNA", at positions 30 to 507 of the family's 1533-position model. The record is from RNAcentral.